UCCGAGUUGACCCCGGCAGUCUUCGAUGAGUCCCCACCAUAACGUGCUGGCAACAUCGAACGAGGGUUGCGCUCGUUGCGGGACUUAACCCAACAUCUCACGACACGAGCUGACGACAGCCAUGCAGCACCUGUGUCCAGGCUCCCUUUCGGGCACCCCUCCAUCUCUGGAGGGUUCCUGGCAUGUCAAGGGUAGGUAAGGUUUUUCGCGUUGCAUCGAAUUAAUCCACAUAAUCCACCGCUUGUGCGGGUCCCCGUCAAUUCUUUUGAGUUUUAGCCUUGCGGCCGUACUCCCCAGGCGGAACACUUAACGCGUUGGCUGCGGCACAGGAGGAUUCGACUCCCCCCACACCUAGCGCCCACCGUUUACGGCGUGGACUAC
Molecule: unclassified non-coding RNA, 381 nt
Filed under: uncultured bacterium
Lineage: Bacteria
Description: contains 16S-23S intergenic spacer region
Source: RNAcentral